UAGGGAAUCUUCCGCAAUGGACGAAAGUCUGACGGAGCAACGCCGCGUGAGCGAAGAAGGCCUUCGGGUCGUAAAGCUCUGUUGUUAGGGAAGAACAAGUAUCGGAGUAACUGCCGGUACCUUGACGGUACCUAACCAGAAAGCCACGGCUAACUACGUGCCAGCAGCCGCGGUAAUACGUAGGUGGCAAGCGUUGUCCGGAAUUAUUGGGCGUAAAGCGCGCGCAGGCGGUCCUUUAAGUCUGAUGUGAAAGCCCACGGCUCAACCGUGGAGGGUCAUUGGAAACUGGGGGACUUGAGUGCAGAAGAGGAGAGUGGAAUUCCACGUGUAGCGGUGAAAUGCGUAGAGAUGUGGAGGAACACCAGUGGCGAAGGCGACUCUCUGGUCUGUAACUGACGCUGAGGCGCGAAAGCGUGGGGAGCAAACAGGAUUAGAUACCCUGGUAGUCCACGCCGUAAACGAUGAGUGCCAAGUGUUAGAGGGUUUCCGCCUUUAGUGCUGCAG
RNAcentral lists this ribosomal RNA (504 nucleotides) under uncultured Bacillota bacterium. Its description in RNAcentral is "bacterial SSU rRNA". It matches the Rfam family "Bacterial small subunit ribosomal RNA", at positions 355 to 851 of the family's 1533-position model. Lineage: Bacteria; Bacillati; Bacillota. The record is from RNAcentral.